RNAcentral lists this long non-coding RNA (831 nucleotides) under Ailuropoda melanoleuca (giant panda). RNAcentral's name for it is "lncRNA (ENSAMEG00000029783.1)". The record is from RNAcentral. Lineage: Eukaryota; Metazoa; Chordata; Mammalia; Carnivora; Ursidae.
AACUUGACCCAAGACCAUCUCUUGUCAUAAAACAGCAAUCCUCCAACGCUAGACGUGGUCCUCCUACUGUUCACUGAGCAGUCAGAGCGCUGAAGAGCCGCAGGGACAUUUGAAUGGGGCUGCUGUUAUUCCUGAUGGGGGCGGCAUGGCUGGGCCACAGCGCAGACAGAACCACAUCACCGAGGCAAAGAGAACCGUAAGGGGAUUGACACUUCAUCACCUGACUCUCAACUCAUGGCCCAGCCUUUCCUCCAUGAAGUAAGAGUAAAGCAUUUUCAAAUGCAAGCUGUUCUCCAGAGGAGACUUGCCGUAUGUUCAAGUCCCGACACGGACCAGGACCCGCGUGCCAUCAGGAGCCUCAGUCCCUCCUCUGCAAGUGGAGACAGUGUCAGGUGCCCGCGAAGGUGUUGUGAGGACUGCCUACGUCACUCAGGGAAAGUGUUAUAUUUCCCUGUCUCUUUAGGAGCGUGUGAAGAACUCAGCCCAACAAGAGAACAAGCCACACCUGAUAAAGUUUCCUACCCGUGUUCUUCUGUGCCUUCAGACAAGACCUGGCUUGAAUUUGCUGCCUUUUCCAUGGGCCCGGCAUUCCCCGUGAAUGACAAUGACACGAAGCCCCCAUCUGCUCCCGCUUAUCACAGCUCCGCCCCGUGUGCUGUCACGUUGUCAACACAAAGACAAGGUCCGUCGGUGACCUCUGAUAGGGUAAGGACAGCGCUGGGAAGCAGCGGCACGAGUCAUUUUGUAGGUCACCCUCCUAGAAACCUCUGGCAAGCACAGGAGUCAUGUUCCUUCAGUAUGAGAAACCGAGUCGCCCUGUUGCUCCAUUAG